CUCUUCGCACACGCUGGGGAGCGCGGUGGGAGGAGGCAGCUCGGGGUGAGGCGGACGGCGGAGCAUGCCCCGCUACCGGUCUCGUUGCUGCGCGGCUGACGGCGCGCAAACGCGGGGCUCAGCGUAGCCUCCACCCCUCGCUCCCCCUCCCCCCCCCCAGGCCCCAAGACCCGCAGAGCCGCCACCGGACGGAAAGUUCCGCGGGUGGCUGACGGUGCGGUCCCCGGCCGGAGCGGCACUCCGCGACCGGCACCUCCCCAUCGCCAGCUCCGCGCGAGCGGCGUGGCUCCGAGGCCGCCAAAGUUGCGGCGGAGCCACGGGGCCGCCGUUGCUGCUGGCCAUCAAGUGGCUCGUUAAGGAAAUGCAGUUCCAUCUGGGCCUUUGUGGACUAGGGGCACAACGCGGCGCCUGACUGGCAGGAGGGGAAAGCGGAGACUCUUCAGGUUUCCGAAGAGGUCCGAACGGACAGCAUUAGGAAAUUUUGAAGAGUCUUACACUUUUAAUCCUCCAGUCAUUGAUUGCGCUGUGAGGACAUUGAGGUGAGGUGGUGGGAGUGAAAAGCAACUGCUUUCCUUGCCCUUUACAACCUAGUUAAGAAUUUGACUGACAGAAUGUUGGCACCAGCUGUGGAAGAGCUGAUCAGCCUCAACUCCAAAGUCUAUUUUCUUCUAUGAACAACCACUAAGAAACCUGGAGGAUACUAGCCUGGCAAAGGGAGAAAAGGGAGAAAGGGAGAAAGAGAAGAAGAAAAAAAGUAAGGUGCUGAGAGUGGAUUAUCAAGAGAAGAUGUUCCUGUAUCAGAGAGACAGGCAAGAUAUGAUAUCGUAAAAAAAAAAAAAAAAUAGAUUGAAUCUCUGAAAACGUGCUAACAUCACCUCAAAAUAAACUAUUAGCUCACAUUAUCACAGUACUUGACAGUUUGAAAAAUCACUAAAAAUGUUUCUUUUAAGAGCUACUUGCAUAGAGACAGUCUGAUGGAGGAGCCAGAUUUCUCUCAGUGGCGGUGUUAGUCUUGGAUCACCAA
This is a long non-coding RNA of Pezoporus flaviventris, 1024 nucleotides long. RefSeq lists it as uncharacterized. The record is from RefSeq and is a predicted model, not a curated record. Lineage: Eukaryota; Metazoa; Chordata; Aves; Psittaciformes; Psittacidae. The transcript is spliced from 5 exons.